RNAcentral lists this long non-coding RNA (259 nucleotides) under Equus caballus (horse). Its description in RNAcentral is "lncRNA (ENSECAG00000055459.1)". The record is from RNAcentral. Lineage: Eukaryota; Metazoa; Chordata; Mammalia; Perissodactyla; Equidae.
GGAGGAAAAUAUUCUAAAAUUAAAUUACAGCGAUGGUUACACAGCCUUGUCAAUAUACUAAAAACAUUGAAUGGCACGUGUUAAAUGGGUGAAUUAUAUGACUCUGCGUCCCCCACUUCCAGAGAGAGAGAAGUUGCCGUCUUGAAAAAUAAGGCUAUCGGCAGUCUGGGAGCGGGACGCUGUGAGAUGAGGCAAAGAAACCCUGCGGAGACCUGGAAACGAUUUUUCUCUCCCCAAAUAUAAUUAAUCAAUUAUGUCC